GUCUUUUUGUUUAUAAUUUAAAGUCUAACCUGCCCACUGAUUUUUUAAAGGCCGCGGUAUUUUGACCGUGCGAAGGUAGCAUAAUAAUUAGUUUUUUAAUUGAAAGCUGGAAUGAAUGGUUGAACGAGGGAGUGACUGUCUCUAUAUUAUUAUAUUAGAACUUUAUUUUUAAGUUAAAAAGCUUAAAUGAUUUUAAAAGACGAGAAGACCCUAUAGAUUUUUAUAAGAUUUUUUUUUAGGGGAUUUUAGAAUAGUUUAAUUUUAAUUAAAUAUCUUAUUUUGUUGGGGUGAUGGGAAAAUUUAAAUAACUUUUUUUUUAUUUUAACAUUGAUUUAUGAUUUAAUGAUCCAUAUUUUAUGAUUAAAAGAUUAAAUUACCUUAGGGAUAACAGCGUAAUUUUUUCUGAGAGUUCUUAUCGAAGAAGAAGAUUGCGACCUCGAUGUUGGAUUAAAAUUUAAAUUUGGUGUAGAAGCUAAAUAAUUAGGUCUGUUCGACCUUUAAAAUUUU
This 507-nucleotide ribosomal RNA is filed under the name Cafius lithocharinus. RNAcentral describes it as "partial 16S ribosomal RNA". It matches the Rfam family "Bacterial large subunit ribosomal RNA", at positions 1825 to 2597 of the family's 2925-position model. The record is from RNAcentral. Lineage: Eukaryota; Metazoa; Arthropoda; Insecta; Coleoptera; Staphylinidae.